RNAcentral lists this unclassified non-coding RNA (444 nucleotides) under Hevea brasiliensis (rubber tree). The record is from RNAcentral. Lineage: Eukaryota; Viridiplantae; Streptophyta; Magnoliopsida; Malpighiales; Euphorbiaceae.
AUUUAAAUCAGAGAUGAGGGCACAAAUUUUGAAAACUGCUCAGAGAUGCACCAAGAUUUGUCAAUUGAACAAAAACUCAGCCAAUUGUAACUGAGACAACAUAAACUGCUCCUACAUGGUAGACUUAUUUAUAUUGUGGCAACUCUAAACCCAAACUUCAAACAAGUAAAAGCAUAUGUUACUCAAACAAAUAUAAUGCAUAAAGCUGCCAAACAUAUCAGAUUGUUGUGCACGGAACCAACAGCCAAAGAUGAGACAUAAUCAAGUCAGACUCACAGCCAAAGUCUUGAUAGCUACAUUGCAAAAAUCAUCUUUUAGCAAGGAGUUCAUAUGUCAGCAUUUGAUGAUAACACAGGGUAGCUAGGAAGAUUUCAUUCCAUAGAAAGUUACCAUAAAACUCUUAACAAAAUUUGAUAACAUAAAUAAUAAUAAGUUAAGGAUGGG